CACUCCUCAAGUGCUACAGAUUCACUCCAUCCAAUCGUAUCCAUUCUCACAUUAGCUAUGCCGGGGAGCAGAGGAGUGCUCAAAAGAAGCUGAGGCAGACCUCGAUGCCAUUUCAUUUGCAUUUCGUCCAUUAUGCAACGCGUUUCUCUGCGGUUGCAGAGGAGUGAAAAUGAGCUGAACUCCAGUGACCUAUCCAACGAGGAACCCCGCACCAGCCCACCAGCCCACAACACUCUGCCGGCUGUACCGUGGAGCAGCAGCUGAGGAAACACGUACGAACAUCAACAAUACAGACGCUUCUCCAGAUUACCCAACGAACACACUCCUCAGUGAGUCAAAGAGCGCUGGCACUGCACAGGAUCACAUGCUAUUGCGAAACAAAUCUGGGUUCAGUGUCCUCUGUUAGAGGAAGGAUGGAGGGCAGCAGACCUGGAGCCAGGUGUUUUUCCACCUUCCUGUCACAUCAUGUGUUAGUGACACAAGUUAAUGAUUAUUGAUUUGCUCGAACCAGAUGAAGAUAUGAAAGUCAAAGUGGAUCUUUCCCCUUCCUCUGUCGCGGGUGGGCAGCUGUCCUUGACAGAUCUGCAGACAAGACAAGGAGUGGAGAUAGCUGCUGCAUUAUCUCAGUCUGCCAGGAAGACCGAAACACUGUUCCUGCUUUAGUCCUGUUAGGAGAGCGCCUGGUCCCAGGGCCUCUGAUCCUCUUACAUCACCAGCAGUUUUAUCUCUUACCCCAUACGUACAAAUCCAGUCACAUCAAACACACACACUGCGUCAGCAUGAACACACACACACACACACACACACACACACACACCCCCCCCACACACACACACACACACGCACACAACACCUCCCAUGUACCUGCCAGAUUAUUUCAUAGUUUCUUUCCAAAAUAGCCUGAGAAUUUGAUCUUUUUUUUUCUUUCCUUCUUCUAAUCCUAUAGCAAAGAGCGGACCAGACAGGUUACAUCACAUCUCAGAGGAGGGAGCUGUAGAUAGACUUAAUUAGGAGGAAAGUCAGCUUGAGAAAGUGUUGCUUGGAAAAAAAAUGAAAAGAAUAAGUUAAGAAACAUUAAAGCUCUACAUUACAGACUCUGCACCCAAACAUCAUUGACCGCAACUAAAGAUUAGCUUUUGUACAGAUUUAUCUGCUGAUAAUUGUUUGUAAAUAUCUGAGAGGUAAAAGAAGAGAAGCUCAAACUACAUAAACAAACCUAACCAGUCAUGAAACAUACAUUAUGAUUUUUUGUUUUCUGCACGUUUCUGAAAGACUUUUACUAGACUUUUAAAAAAUCUGUCAUGAACUAUGGAAUGUUUUUUGGUGUUUUAAUAAUGCCAAAACCUGCUCUUAAUAAGAUACAUUACCAAGUGUAUUUUUUAUGACAGUAAGUGCAAAACACCAGUAAAAUUACAAAUACAUUUUGCCAGUUACAUAACAGAAAGGGGGUAAACAACAUCAAGCUGAGAAGUAUCCAUAGUAGGCUGUGGGCCUCAGGAUGCUCUGCUCCCAGAUGGUGAGAGGAGAGCGAAGGCAGAUGGUCAUCUUCUCCUGCUCCCCCUCUGAUUAUUCCCGAUUUGAAAAACUCUCUGAUGCAAAGUUGCUGUCAAGUCGCAUUAAAGAUGUAAGAUCUGCUGCAGCUCUGCGAGUUGAUUAACUUGUUUUCCUUCCAAACGUGGACGUUUUUAACCCUGACAUUCAUCUUAGUCAUUUUAUUGACCAGAUUAUUUGAGUUUUUUUUUUUUGUUUUUUUUCACGGCACCUCUCUGUCAACAUCCCAUCAAUCAGCAAUGAAGGGCAAUUUCCUUUUUUCUGACCUCUCGUGAUUGAUAAGAAUUAAUCAUAAGCGCAUUUACAGCGUAGUGCUGAGCUAAUGCUGCGUCAGGAUCAAAGUGUACAGCACCCAAUAACUAAAAUCUCGAUCUAACACCCAGUUUCCAGGUCAGUGCUGGAAGCAAUGUGCAUUGCGUAAUAUUUUUAACACAGUGACAGUGGCAGCAAAAACCAGUGAACUAGCUUACUGAAACAAACAUGAGAGUAAAGAAGUAGUGCAUGCAAAUGUAUUUCUUUCUGAAUUUUGACAUUUUGUGCAUGUCGGUUUUACAGGUGUUCAACAAAUAACACAUCCUGGUGCAGGAAGAAACAUCCAGAUUAAUAAUUAAUA
This is a non-coding RNA of Poecilia reticulata (guppy), 2164 nucleotides long. Lineage: Eukaryota; Metazoa; Chordata; Actinopteri; Cyprinodontiformes; Poeciliidae. The record is from RefSeq and is a predicted model, not a curated record.